This 65-nucleotide transfer RNA is filed under the name Dipodomys ordii (Ord's kangaroo rat). It matches the Rfam family "tRNA". Rfam says of the family: Transfer RNA (tRNA) molecules are approximately 80 nucleotides in length. The record is from Rfam by way of RNAcentral. Lineage: Eukaryota; Metazoa; Chordata; Mammalia; Rodentia; Heteromyidae.
GGUGGCUCAGUGAUAGAGCACUUGCCUUGCAUGCAUGAGGCCCUGGGUUCAAUUCCUCAGUACCA